CCCAGAACUCUGAGGAUGGGGUCUUGGCCUCCUUUUUAGGCCAGCUGGCGACCACUGAGGUGCCUGGAGCCCAUGUGCAGCUUGUGCACAUGUGCAAGCCUUUCUUUCUCUGCCAUUGUCCGUGUCCCUCCCCCUCUGUCUGUCUGUCCCUCCCCCUCUGUCUGUCUGUCUGUCUGUCUGACUCUCUCCCUCUGUCUGUCUGUGUGUCUCUGUCUCUCUUGUCUCUGCCUUUCUUUCUCUGUAUUGUCUGUGUCCCCCUCUCCCUCUGUCUGUCUCUCUGUCUGUCUCUCUGUCUCUGCCUUUCUUUCUGUGUAUUGUUCAUGUACCCCUCUCUCCCUCUGUCUGUCUCUCUCUGUCUGUCUCUCUGUCUCUGCUUUUUUUCUCUGUAUUGUCCAUCUACCCCUCUCUCCCUCUGUCUGUCUGUCUCUCUCUGUCUCUCUCUCUGUCUCUGCCUUUCUUUCUCUGUAUUGUCCAUCUACUCCUCUCUCCCUCUGUCUGUCUGUCUCUCUCUGUCUCACCCAGACUUGGGGCCAGGCUUUAGCGAUCGUUCCUGACACUUCCUAGCUAUGUUUCUACAAUGAAGUCAUUUAAUGUCUCUGAGCUUGAGUCUUACCACCUAUAAAAUGGGUACCCCAAUCCCCAGAGUGCCUUCCUCCAAACUCUGUUCUGAGGCUCCAAUGAGCUAAUGAUGCGAAGUGCUUUACAAACCCAGAAUGUCAGCUAUCCCUGUUCCUGCUCUACAGAUGGCACCGGCUCACAGGUCCAGAGGAUGAAGGGCCCUCAGAGGCAUCUAGUCCAACCCUUUACCUCCUGGAGGAGGAAACUGAGGCAGAGUUGUGAAUGACUCACCCCAGGUCCCACAGAUAGUAAGGGUCAGAGGCAAGAUUUGAACCCAGGUUCUUUGGCUCCAGAAAUGGCUUAACUAUAAUAAUUUUAACUGGCAG
Molecule: long non-coding RNA, 944 nt
Filed under: Monodelphis domestica (gray short-tailed opossum)
Lineage: Eukaryota; Metazoa; Chordata; Mammalia; Didelphimorphia; Didelphidae
Description: lncRNA (ENSMODG00000045463.1)
Source: RNAcentral